This is a long non-coding RNA of Oncorhynchus nerka (sockeye salmon), 1675 nucleotides long. RefSeq lists it as uncharacterized. Lineage: Eukaryota; Metazoa; Chordata; Actinopteri; Salmoniformes; Salmonidae. The record is from RefSeq and is a predicted model, not a curated record. The transcript is spliced from 3 exons.
CAGGAAGGCGGCCUCCAAAUCCCCCUCUGACACAAGAGACACAGCAGACAAUGGACAGGGAGACUCUAGUCCAGUGUUUGACAACAUCUCAGGCACGGCCUUCACCCCUACUGCAGCACAGACAGCAGCCACAGACGACCAGGAUGAUGUUCACUACGCCAGCAUCCACUUCUCUCGCUCCAAAAACCAGGAAGUGCCUCUGUACUCCACCGUCCAGCUGCAUCAACCCCAGAAAGAGAAUGAGGAUGUCCAGUACGCUGCUGUGAAUUUCAACCUCCCCUGUGCUGCCACCUGACCCGCAGCAGCACAAGCAGCUGAGGAGGACUCCUCUGUUCUCUAUAGUACAGUCAAUAAACCCUGAACCAAGAAGACCUGAACACAACAAACUCAGAACUAAGAAGACCUGAACGCAACAAACCCAGAACCAAGAAAACCCGAACACAACAAAUCCAGAACCAAGAAGACCUGAACACAACAAACUCAGAACUAAGAAGACCUGAACACAACAAACUCAGAACUAAGAAGACCUGAACGCAACAAACCCAGAACCAAGAAGACCUGAACACAACAAACUCAGAAACUAAGAAGACCUGAACACAUCAAACCCAGAACCAAGAAGACCUGAACACAACAAACCCAGAACCAAGAAAACCUGAACAGAAGAAGUUUGACAAUAGCCUUGUGUAUCAGGACCUGUAUAUCUAAACUAAGUGAUAUAAUGCCUGUGGAGGUGUGGAAUAUUGACCUUUAUAAACUGGGUGGUUUGAGCCCUGAAUGCUGAUUAGCUGACCGGCGUGGUAUACCAGACCGUAUACCAUGGGUAUUAACAUUUGUAUUUACUGGUCUAAGUACAUUGGUAACCAGUUUAAAAUAAGGCACCUCGCUGUUUGUGGUGCAUCCAAGCACUCCGCGUUGCAUUGUGCAGAAGAACAGCCCUUAGCGGUAGUAUAUUGGCCAUAUACCACACCUCCUCGGGCCUUAUUGCUUAAAUUUAUAAUGGCAACAAGGUACUUCAGGGGUUUUUGUUAUAUGACCAACAUACUGUUCCACGGCUUAUUUUAAACUGGUUAACAACAUAAAUAGAACAUUAAACAAGUAUUUUUACUUCAUACCCGUGGUAUAUUGUCUGAUAUACAGUAUAGACUUCUGAAAUACUGUUUCAGCCAAUCACCAUCAAGGGCCAAAACUACCCAGUUUUUAAUAGUAUUUAAUAAUAUAUUCCAUCUAGUAGACACUUUUAUCCAAAUUCACACAGUCAUUACAGUCAUGUUUGAAAACACUUUUCGUAUGGGAAGUCCCAGCAGGAAUUGAACCCAUGCUCCAUGCUGUACCAACUGAGCCACAGGCGACUCUAUUCACACUUAGAGUAGAAGUUCUGAUUUAGGGUCAGUUAUGACUUUGAAACAGUUGUGAAUUAGAAAGGGACCUUAACAUUUUUUAUAUAUAUUUUUACAUUAAAAAAUGUUGUAUUUCUGACGUAGGAAACCUUGAGUUCCAGUUAUAUCUUACAGAGCAUUCAGAAAGUAUUCAGACCCCUUGACUUUUUCCACAUGUUGUGAUGUUUCAAACUUUUUCUCAAAUUGAUGAGAUAAUUCUCUCCUCAUCAAUCAACACACUAAACCCCAUAAUGCUAAAGCAAAAAAGGUUUUUAGACAAUUUUGCAAAUGUAUAAAUU